RNAcentral lists this ribosomal RNA (541 nucleotides) under uncultured bacterium. RNAcentral describes it as "bacterial SSU rRNA". It matches the Rfam family "Bacterial small subunit ribosomal RNA", at positions 336 to 870 of the family's 1533-position model. The record is from RNAcentral.
CUCCUACGGGUGGCAGCAGUGGGGAAUUUUGGACAAUGGGCGCAAGCCUGAUCCAGCCAUGCCGCGUGCGGGAAGAAGGCCUUCGGGUUGUAAACCGCUUUUGGCAGGAACGAAACGGCGCGAGCCAAUACCUCGCGUUAAUGACGGUACCUGCAGAAUAAGCACCGGCUAACUACGUGCCAGCAGCCGCGGUAAUACGUAGGGUGCAAGCGUUAAUCGGAAUUACUGGGCGUAAAGCGUACGCAGGCGGCUUUGCAAGACAGGUGUGAAAUCCCCGGGCCUAACCUGGGAACUGCAUUUGUGACUGCAUGGCUAGAGUCUGUCAGAGGGGGGUGGAAUUCCACGUGUAGCAGUGAAAUGCGUAGAGAUGUGGAAGAACACCGAUGGCGAAGGCAGCCCCCUGGGAUAAGACUGACGCUCAUGUACGAAAGCGUGGGGAGCAAACAGGAUUAGAUACCCUGGUAGUCCACGCCCUAAACGAUGUCUACUAGUUGUCGGAGGGUAACUCCUUCGGUAACGCAGCUAACGCGUGAAGUAGACC